RNAcentral lists this ribosomal RNA (433 nucleotides) under uncultured bacterium. Its description in RNAcentral is "partial 16S ribosomal RNA". It matches the Rfam family "Bacterial small subunit ribosomal RNA", at positions 29 to 507 of the family's 1533-position model. The record is from RNAcentral.
AGCGAACGCUGGCGGCAGGCUUAACACAUGCCAGUCGAGCGGGCACUUCGGUGUCAGCGGCAGACGGGUGAGUAACACGUGGGAACGUACCCUUCGGUUCGGAAUAACGCUGGGAAACUAGCGCUAAUACCGGAUACGCCCUUUUGGGGAAAGGUUUACUGCCGAAGGAUCGGCCCGCGUCUGAUUAGCUAGUUGGUGGGGUAAUGGCCUACCAAGGCGACGAUCAGUAGCUGGUCUGAGAGGAUGAUCAGCCACACUGGGACUGAGACACGGCCCAGACUCCUACGGGAGGCGGCAGUGGGGAAUAUUGGACAAUGGGCGCAAGCCUGAUCCAGCCAUGCCGCGUGAGUGAUGAAGGCCUUAGGGUUGUAAAGCUCUUUUGUCCGGGACGAUAAUGACGGUACCGGAAGAAUAAGCCCCGGCUAACUUCGUG